Cryptomeria japonica (Japanese cedar) is the source of this 2574-nucleotide RNA transcript. It is a transcript of the gene named dephospho-CoA kinase, with no coding region annotated. The record is from RefSeq and is a predicted model, not a curated record. The transcript is spliced from 6 exons. Lineage: Eukaryota; Viridiplantae; Streptophyta; Pinopsida; Cupressales; Cupressaceae.
UCAUCUUUUCCACAUUAACAUUUUCCAUUUUAGGAUCAUUAUUAUUUGAGGGUUUUGUCACAUUAAAAAACCCUUUCUAAGAAUUUUUUAAUAGAGGACAAUCUUUCCGUGUAUGACCACUCUCUUUAUAGUGGAAGCAAGCAUUAAGGUUCCCAAGCGACUCCAUGUCCCAACAAAGGGUUUCACCCUCAAUAGUAAGGGCGGUUUCACUCUCGUUUAUUUUGAAUAGAUCGAAUCAGCAGCUGUAGGGAAAUGCUUUUGGUUCUUAUCAUUUUAUAAAAAAUUCUGCACUGGUAGGGUUUCGUAAUUUCUUUUCCUGCAAACUCUGCCCAUCAUUUCAGUCAGCAGAGUUGACAGCACGGCACAAUUUGUGCAGAAUCUCGAGCAUAAUGUCUCAACCUUCCAGUAGUAGAAGUGGUGCCCCAAAGGCAGACCCAAUUAGAAAGGAUAAGGCUUGGAAACAUGGCAUCCCUGGGUCAAAAAAAGAAGUAACAUGAAUAUAAUGGGGGAGGUAUUAACUGGUUGAAAUAUCACAUUGCACAAAUAGAAUGCCAUGAUGCCAAACCAUGCAAACUAGCACCCCCUGAGGUUAUAAGUGAAGUGCAAGCUCAAUUAGAGGAAUAUGAAGAGAUAAAAGAAUUAAAAAAGAAGCAAAUGGAAGAAACGACAGCCAUUGGUGGAGAGGCUUCUUCAAAUCCUCGGCCUCCAUUUCCUGCAUCUAGAAGUAGUGGUAGUGUGAGUGUGAGCAUUUGGUCUCGUAUUCGUAAAAAUAAAUCCACAAUAGACUCACUUUUUGUUCCACGCAUGACUCCGGAUGCCCAACCAUCGCUUGAGAGCAUGGGUAGGAAUAAAAAGCAUGAUGCUGCGAAAAUAGUAAUCGGAGACUUUUGGUUCUACAACAACGUUCCAUUUCAUGCAAUGAGGUCUCCAUACUUGCAAAUUAUGGUAGAUGCCAUUACUGUUUGUGGUCAAGGGUUCAAAGCCCCUAAUGAUGAGGAGAUAAAAGGCCCUAUUUUGAGUCAAAAGGUGGCUGAUGUUAAAGCCAAAAUUGCCGAGCAACGUGAGAUAUGGAGGAAGGGUUGCACCAUCAUGACUGAUGGUGGGACCGACAGAAGAAAUAUAACACUGCUGAAUUUUCUUGUCUCCUCAUCAGGUAGCACGAUGUUCUUGAAGUCGAUUGAUGCUUCAGACGAUAUAAAAAAUGUUGAGUAUUUCUGUGGGGUGAUGGAGGAAGUGUUGGAGGAUGUGGGUGAGUAGAAUGUGGUGCAAAUAGUGACAGAUAAUGCAGCAAAUUAUGUUGCUGUAGGUAAAAUUCUUAUGGAGAGGCACCCCACCUUGUUUUGGACCCCUUGUGCUUCUCACUGCAUUGACCUAAUAUUGGAGGAUCUUGGCAAAAUUCCAUGGAUUAAAACAUAUGCAGAGACUGGAAGGAAUAUUUGUAAAUACAUAUACAAUCAUACUUGGGUCCUCAACCUUAUGAGAAAUUCUACAAAUAAGGAGGAGUUGGUUCGUCUAGGAAUUACCCGACUUGCAACAAAUUUUAUCACGUUGCAAUCCUUACUUUAGUCCAAGGCCGGAUUGAAACGCAUGUUUGUAAGUGAGGAGUGGACAACAUCAUCAUAUGCAAAGACCACUGCAGGGAUUGAGACGAUUGAUCGGGUUUUUGAUGAGCAUAGCUCUUGGCAAUCGGCCAAGGAGAUUGUGCAGUUCAUAGAGCCUCUUGUUGUUCUCCUACGAGUUGCUGAUGGAGAGAAGCCCGCAAUGGGCUACAUUUAUGAGGGCAUGAACAGGGUGAAGGAGGCCAUUAGAGCCAUUUAUUUAGGCAAUUAGGCUAAAUAUGGUCCCAUAUGGGAGGUCAUUGAUCGACACUGGCACAAUUUGCUUCAUAGGCCUAUACAUGCAACUGCCUACUACCUUAAUCCGACAUUGCAAUUUCGCUCUGAUUUCAAGGCCGAUGAUGAGGUGUUGAGUGGGCUCUACGAAGUUGUAGAGCGAAUGUCACCUAAUUUAUCAGUUGGAGCACACAUAGUCCGUGAGGUAGAGAUGUUUAGGAAUGCACAAGGAGACUUCUUCUCACAAGACAUAUGCAAACAUAACCGGACACAAAUGAUGCUAGAUGCAUGGUGGGAGAUGUUUGGCAAUAAGGUGCUAAAUCUAUAGAAGAUUGCAGUUCAUAUCUUGAGCCAACCAUGUAGUGCUUUAGGAUGUGAGCGCAAUUGGAGCAUGUUUGAGCAUGUUCACUCCAAAAAGCACAAUAGGUUGGCGGUGCAAAGGUUGAAUGAUCUUGUGUUUGUUCAUUACAACCUUCGCCUCCAUCACAGACAGAUCUUGGGCACUCACACAUCUCCUAUCACUUUAGAGGAGGUUGAUCCACAAGCAGAGUGGAACAUUGAGGUUGAUGAUCCUGUCUUCAAUGAUGAAGACUUAGAAUCGGUUGAUUAGGUGGAUCUAGAGGCAGGGGUAGUAGCGAUGGUAGAGGAGGCGGCUAGAGCACGAGGAGACUCAUUGGAGGACCCUGAGAUCGAGGAUGAUGUGGAUGAGGAUGUGGAUGUCAUUGAGGCUGAGCUGAAGCCU